GCUAUUGUAGCUCAGUGGCAGAGCACUUCAUUGGUAAUGAAGAGGUCGGGGGUCCAAUUCCCCUCAAUAGCU
Molecule: non-coding RNA, 72 nt
Organism: Eubacterium sp. CAG:252
Lineage: Bacteria; Bacillati; Bacillota; Clostridia; Eubacteriales; Eubacteriaceae
Source: Rfam